This 499-nucleotide ribosomal RNA is filed under the name uncultured bacterium. RNAcentral describes it as "partial 16S ribosomal RNA". It matches the Rfam family "Bacterial small subunit ribosomal RNA", at positions 28 to 507 of the family's 1533-position model. The record is from RNAcentral.
GAUGAACGCUGGCGGCGUGCCUAAUACAUGCAAGUCGAGCGAACAGACGAGAGUGCUUGCACUCUCUGACGUUAGCGGCGGACGGGUGAGUAACACGUGGGUAACCUACCUAUAAGACUGGGAUAACUUCGGGAAACCGGAGCUAAUACCGGAUAAUAUUUAGCUUCGCAUGACGCAAUAGUGAAAGACGGUUCUGCUGUCACUUAUAGAUGGACCCGCGGUGUAUUAGCUAGUUGGUGAGGUAACGGCUCACCAAGGCAACGAUACAUAGCCGACCUGAGAGGGUGAUCGGCCACACUGGGACUGAGACACGGACCAGACUCCUACGGGAGGCAGCAGUAGGGAAUCUUCCGCAAUGGACGAAAGUCUGACGGAGCAAUGCCGCGUGAGUGAAGAAGGUGUUCGGAUCGUAAAACUCUGUUGUAAGGGAAGAACAAGUACGUUAGUAACUGAACGUACCUUGACGGUACCUUACCAGAAAGCCACGGCUAACUACGUG